CUGGUCGUAGCUCAGAGGUAGAGCGCCGGUUUUGGGAACCGGAUGCCGCAGGUUCGAUCCCUGCCGACCAGA
RNAcentral lists this transfer RNA (72 nucleotides) under Kitasatospora griseola. It matches the Rfam family "tRNA". Rfam says of the family: Transfer RNA (tRNA) molecules are approximately 80 nucleotides in length. Their secondary structure includes four short double-helical elements and three loops (D, anti-codon, and T loops). The record is from Rfam by way of RNAcentral. Lineage: Bacteria; Bacillati; Actinomycetota; Actinomycetes; Kitasatosporales; Streptomycetaceae.